GCACAGCUUGUGUCUUGGAGGGUGGGUGGAGAGAGGAUGAAUUGAGAUGGAAUGGGAGAGAAGUUUUUUGAGGUACCUGGAACAUUAUCUAUAUAAGGCAGAUAUUUGGACUACCUAUCAAUUUGCCGAAAUCUAUCUCAUCACGCCCUUAAGAUUCUUCAAUUAAAUUUUAUCGUAAAAAAAAAUAGGGAAUAUCAACAAAUACUGAGUUCAAGUGAAUGGUACGUGUGGCAUAUGUGAGGAGACUAUAUUGACGGCUGACAUGUAAACCCUACUUUGGGGAGCUGAGGAGAGAGAUGUCUCGGUGUGAAAAGCACUUGCAAACAAGUGUGCAGACCUGAGUGCAAAUUCCAAAAACUCACAAAAAAGCCCGGCAGGAGAUCUCAGUGCUGCUCUGGUGAGAUGCAAGACACACGGGAGAAUUCCCUGACCUUGAAAGACAGCCUUCCUGGUGUACACAGCACAGCCUUCCUGAUGGACACAGCACAGCCUUCCUGAUGGACACAGCACAGCCUUCCUGAUGGACACAGCACAGCCUUCCUGGUGUACACAACACAGCAGCCAAACAACGAAGAGACCCAUUUGAGACAAGGUGGGAGGUGAGGACCAACACCCAAAGUUGUCCUGUGACCUUUAUCUGUGCUACAGACAGACAGACACACAGACAGACAGUCACACACACACACACACACACACACACACACACACACACACACACACACACACAAAACUGAUAGGAGGGUGGAAAGAAAAAUGAGAAUUUAGCCAAAUGUUCAUAAUAGAAUCUGGAUGGGAAGCAAAUAGAUGUCACUGACAUCCUUUCCAUGCUGUCCAUUUCAAUAUUUGCAUGAUAAGUAUUGGAAAUUAUCACAAGGCUGGAGCGGGGAGAAAGCAGAAUAGGGAAGAAAAUGAGGCAAAGAAUAUGAAAGAAAGCAGAAUGAAGCAAAGAAUAAGAACAGAAAGGAAGGUCGUGAACAGAAGUCUAGGAAAGGAAGUCAAAUUAGAAGAUGCUGAAAAAGAUGAACGGGAAUAAUGACAGGAAGACACAGAGAAAGAAAAGAAUGGCUAGGAAGAAAAGGUGUUGCAUGCAACAACAACAAAAACAAACAAAUAAAAAAAGAGCAAUUGAGAGGGGCAUAGCGAGGGAGGAGAGGGGCAGAUCUAGGCUGGUGGCGGGUCCAGCACAGGCCUGGCAUCGCUUCUAAACUCCCAGUUCAGUGGAGCUGAACUACGAACUGUACAGCCUGUCUCCCAGCUGUCACUCUGCUUCCCCUUGGCGCUGUGCUUGGCCAGAAUCUAGAUCAAGGAAGAAGAUGCCAGUGACUUUUGUGCUAAAGCCACUGACCCGUCCCACCCAAAGGCCAGAGGCACUCCGGUGGCCCGAGAUGGUUGUCAGCCUUCCUUGUUUAGUCACGAAUUCCUAUCGAUAGAAAUCUCAUGUUCUUAUGAAUUAUAAAAAUAUAUUCGGCAGAGGGGAGCAAUGCUGGUCAAUGUGGAGGUCAUAGGGACAGGGGGCUGCCAGCCAGCUGCUCAACUGACUGACCUACCUGGAGCUCACAGUUCAGGGUCUCCAUAGACAUCGCCGAAGACUUUUGAAUACAAGGGGCAAGUGGAAAGUCCUCUACAUCAAAACGCAGAAGACUCCUUCAUGUUUGUGCCACUAACAAACGGGGGCCGUCAAGCAAACCACAGAAGCACCCAGCCUCUUUACUUCACAUCUUUGCUAAGUACCCAGGGUCCAAGACUCAAAUGAGGCCUUACUAUGUACAUUUUAAGUACUUUUCAGGCACCAAAUUGUUGUGGUUUGGGUAUGAAAUGUCCUCCCAAAGUUUCUAUGUUAAAGGUUUGGUCCCUAAGACAAUGUUCAGAGGCAGGGUUUUAGGGAAUUGAUUGGGUUGAGGGCUCUGGUCUAAUCCCUGGGUGGACUUAUAGAACCCCAUACCAUUAUUGGGAGGAAACUAGGAAUGUGGCUUAGUAGAGUGAGCAGACACUGGCAGGGAAUCCUUGAAGUGUAUCUGGUCCCCAGGCCCGCCCUUUGGUUCCCUCUGCUUCCUGACCACCGUGAGGUGAGCAGCCUUCUUGUACCACUGCGCACUGCCCUGAUGCUCAGACUCAACCACAGCCUUGAAAGCAACACAGCCAGAGGCCCACGGAUGGACGGAAGCCUUUGCAAAAGUCUUGCCUCUUUCCAAUCAGUUUCCUCAGGCACUUUGCUAGACACACACACACACACACACACACACACACACACACACACACACACAAAACCAGCAAGUAGGACUCCUUUUCUCUCCUGUAGAUCUGUGUUGUGUGAUAUUUUGCUUGUGUUCUGACACAAAUAAAGCUUGCUUGAAGUCAGAAGGCGGAGCUAGCCCCUAGUUAACCAUAGAGGUCUAGUGGUCUGUACAGAGAGGAAACAGGAAGUGGUAAGGCAGGGUGGAGACAGGAUCUCCGUCCUUUUGGACUGGAGGAACAGAACAGGAAGGAAGCGACUGUGACUGCUCUCCUGUUUCUCUGAUCUUUUGGGGUUUUAAUCCUGUUUUGUUUUUGUUUUUUUCAGUUUUUUGUUUUGUUUUGUUUUGUUUUUUAAUAAGAUUAACUAGAUUAAUGCUUCAGAUCUGCCCAGAUGUUAGACUUCUGGUUCAAAAUGACCUCUAGCUAGCAACCCCCACAUCCUCCCUCAGACUUUCUCCCCUCAAGACCUAGAGACCUCCCAAAAGAAGCAAGCUCACUACAAUCGUAAGAUUACUUCUAAAAUGCAUCUCUGCUUCUGUCCACUUUGCCAGUUCAUUGGGAGCUGUGCUAGUUUGUUUUCUACUUCCCGUACAAACUGCCCAAGCUAUUGUCCCUGCGGUGUUUCAAUGAUGCUCCGUACCAAGCUACUUCCAGGACAUCCUCUGCCCAGCAACUGGCGAGAAGACUGUAAACUCCACAAGGAACACAAGCUUGAGCCGCUCCCCUAAAACACAGGCAGGAGGGACAGAGACCCGCAAUGGAAGAAACGUAAGAAAUGCCCCAGGGAACACCCUCCUGAGUUAAUGAGAUAUGUGCUGAUGAUAAGCGUUCAUUGUGUUCCAGGAACCAUCAAUGAAAUAAAAGUCAAAGUACUAAUAGAGUUUUCUACUUCACAUUAAAUACUAGAAUACACUACCUCUAAAUAGUUUUAAGUAGAAAAGGGUAUGACCCAAGAGUUUUAUGGCCAAUAUUGGGUAAGUGGAGAUCUCAGAAAAGAAAAAAACUCUUGGAUGUUCAGUUUCAGAAAAUACAUCACCUAUGCACCCUUCUUGAUAUGAUUAUUGAAGAUGGAAUCCAAUUCUAGAAAGAUGAAGGAGAACGAAAGCCUCAAAGGUGUAGAUAUUGUAAUCCAAAGGGACAAGAGAAGGAAAUCAAUUAAAACAGCAUUGAGCCUAACAGUACAAAUACAGCUGCAAGCCUUGAACAUUAAUAUUAAAAAUCACUUAAAGACAAGGUAUAGGGUGAAAUUCCAUUCAUCCAAAUAUAGAAGGUAAAUUUAUUGUUUUAACAGGUUUUUGAAGUGACAUCGGAAGACAGAAAAGGGAUGACAUCAAGUCACAACUUUGUCCAAUAAUUGGAAAGAUGUUAUUCACUAGUGACUGGCAAUAUAAGCUAAGAAAUAUUUUCUUUAAGUCUUAACCAAUAGUUUAAAAGAAGACAUUUACAUUCUAAAAAUAUUUUAAAUUAAAAAUAAAUAAUGUCUGUAUCCAAAAAAGCAUGGAAAUUUUUAGAAAACAUUAAAAAAUAGAACAAGACAAUAGACAAGGUACCAAAAGUGUCAGCUAUAACAAUAAAUGUCAAUAAUUUAAACUCUCUUAUUAAAAGAAAGUGAAUAGUCACAUUGGAUAAAAACCAUACAAAACUAUAUGCUUUUUAUUGUGUUAUUUGUUUCUUUGAGACAGUCUUAUGUCACUCAGGCUACUCUUUGAACUUAAUAUGCCAGUCAUGGAUAACUUAGAACUUCUGAUUCUCCUGCCUCUGGAUCUGAGUGCCAGGAUUACAGACUGGGUCCAUCAUAACUAGUUUAUGUGAUGCUGGGGACUGAACCCAUGGUAGAGUGUUUGCAUGCUAGGUAACUAAUCUGUAUCACCAGCCUCAACUGUGUGCUAACUAUAGGAAAGCUCAGAUGGUCUGUCCUUAUUAAUUGAUUAAAAGCCUUUGAAUCAUACCCUGAAAAUGAAUGAAUUUUUUAAAGAGCUUUUUUUCAUUUUGAUACAUAUUUUUUCAAGUCCCAGAGAAACAAAUUAUCCAAACCACAUAUUUUAACCAGAAUGUGAUAAUUUAAGAUACCCUGAAAUGUUAACAAAUUAGGUUAAUAAUUCAAUUGUUAAGUAAAUCACUGAACAAUUAAAGCUGUGGUUUAAGUUUUUAAUAACAACUCACAACUAGAAUCAAAAUCCAUGGGUGCUUAUGGCCAAAGCUGCACAGACAGGAAAGUGUAUAGCUCAAAAUGAUUUCUUUGAUUAGGAAAACAACGAAAAAUAAACCAAGAAUUCAAUGAAGGAAACUGGACAGUGAAAGGAGCCCACAGAAGUGCUGACACGGGCCCAGCAGGCACUGCGAGGCAGACGAGGCAGACAGCGCCAGGCUACCGAGAGCCUUUUGUAGCGCGCACAUGUGCCGCGCACGUUAUAAUGGAGAGGCAUCUCCACGAAAGGAGAAGAUUACAUGUUUUUUACAGCUGCUUCUGUGCAUUUCAAGAAAAAAAAAAAAAAAACAACUCAAUGUGCUCUCAAGCUUCAGGGAGGAGAUCACCUGUCAAGAGGGUGGAGCCUGCCACAGUUUUUGUGGAGAGCCCCAAUAGGAGGAGGACCUUCCCUCUGGCUCCAGGAAGCACUUCGAGAAGCAUCCUCCCAGUGUUUGGAACAGCCUGGUUGAGAAGCCUUCAAGUCCACUUCCGAAGUGUCUCUGAGAACACUGCACUGUCAUGGCAAGUUAGACAACAUCCCUUGCAUACAGCCAGGUAUAGUAGAAGCCCCAGCCAAGCAGGGCAAAGGCAACUCAGCCUCCCCAUCAUUAGCUCUUGAAUUUCCUGAUCUGAACCAUGACAUCUUUGCUUGAAAAACCAUCUCUCUCGCGAAGCACCAAGAGAACAAUUAGAGAUUAACCCAAGCACUCUCUCUUGCCAGCAAGUGCUGGUCCUCUCAGGGGACUAGGAGCCAUGUGUACCAAAGGUCUUUGUCUCUGAAACACCCUCAUCUGUGUUUUCCAUCUCAUUAGGAGAGACAUUUUCCUCCCACUGUGCCAAGGUCUUUCACAGCUAAGCAGCAUUUAGUAGCUGAAAUAGUAUUUUCUCCCACGUCCAAAGACCCUAUGAACACACUAACAUGUUUUCUAAAAAUUGAUUUAAAAACACUUCAAAUGAAAGCCACAAGUAGUGUGUUGCCAUUAUGAUUCCAGCCAGGCAUGGUGACACAUGCCUAUAAUCCCAAUUUAGAAGGCAGAGGCAGGAGGAUGACAAGUUCCAGGCUAGACUUGGGUCUCAUAUCUCAAGUUCAAAGCCAUUCUGAGCUACAGAAUAAGACCCUUUUUUAAAGCAGAAAUCCUUUACAUAUUGGCUUUUCUUGGAAUCAGUGAUCUCUAAACUACUUACAUUUGAUACAGUUACUGCAAGAAAAAAAUAAAGAGGGUAGGAAAAGGUUAGCAUGAUCUAUGUUAAUGCCCAACUGCUAAUUUGUACUCAGGGAAACUUUUGCUUGAACUUGAGACAAGGCUAGAAUCAAUGUGACUGCCAAUAAAAUGUUGUCUACAAAACUAUUCUUCUUAAGCAUCAUUUUUUUAAAACUGCAAUCUCCUAAGCUGCGACCUUCUCAAAUGGUAACUUCAUAACUGGGGCUAAGAGAUGAAUAUCAUAGUUCAAAUGAGUGUCACCUCAUCCCAAAAUACAGGAACUUUGUAAAGAGUAAACAAAAUUAUUGCAAAGCUCUUUGUUUAUCUAGAAUAAUGGGAUCCAUACACAAUAGUCCUCUGAGGCUGGCAGUAUUCCUCUGAGGUAGACAAGAGACAUGAAGAUUAUAAUUGAGGUGCAGAGAAGAACCACCUGCCCCAAAACACACGUUCAGUAGCAGAAAUCAGACCAAGUGCAUGCCUUUCUUUUCUUCUCUCAAGUCCUACACA
Long non-coding RNA from Peromyscus maniculatus bairdii (prairie deer mouse), 6132 nucleotides. RefSeq lists it as uncharacterized. The record is from RefSeq and is a predicted model, not a curated record. NCBI's taxonomy places the organism in Eukaryota, Metazoa, Chordata, Mammalia, Rodentia, Cricetidae.